UACGAAGGGGGCUAGCGUUGCUCGGAAUGACUGGGCGUAAAGGGCGCGUAGGCGGCGAUCACAGUCAGAUGUGAAAUUCCUGGGCUUAACCUGGGGGCUGCAUUUGAUACGUGGUUGCUUGAGUGGGGAAGAGGGUCGUGGAAUUCCCAGUGUAGAGGUGAAAUUCGUAGAUAUCAGGAGGAACACCGGUGGCGAAGGCGGCUUCCUGGCCUGUUCUUGACGCUGAGGCGCGAAAGCUAGGGUAGCAAACGGG
This 253-nucleotide ribosomal RNA is filed under the name uncultured bacterium. Its description in RNAcentral is "partial 16S ribosomal RNA". It matches the Rfam family "Bacterial small subunit ribosomal RNA", at positions 524 to 776 of the family's 1533-position model. The record is from RNAcentral.